UGAAACUGCGAAUGGCUCAUUAAAUCAGUUAUCGUUUAUUUGAUAGUACCUUACUACAUGGAUAACCGUGGUAAUUCUAGAGCUAAUACAUGCUAAAAACCCCGACUUCGGAAGGGGUGUAUUUAUUAGAUAAAAAACCAAUGCCCUUCGGGGCUCCUUGGUGAUUCAUGAUAACUUAACGAAUCGCAUGGCCUUGCGCCGGCGAUGGUUCAUUCAAAUUUCUGCCCUAUCAACUUUCGAUGGUAGGAUAGUGGCCUACCAUGGUAUCAACGGGUAACGGGGAAUUAGGGUUCUAUUCCGGAGAGGGAGCCUGAGAAACGGCUACCACAUCCAAGGAAGGCAGCAGGCGCGCAAAUUACCCAAUCCCGACACGGGGAGGUAGUGACAAUAAAUACUGAUACAGGGCUCUUUUGGGUCUUGUAAUUGGAAUGAGUACAAUUUAAAUACCUUAACGAGGAACAAUUGGAGGGCAAGUCUGGUGCCAGCAGCCGCGGUAAUUCCAGCUCCAAUAGCGUAUAUUAAAGUUGUUGCAGUUAAAAAGCUCGUAGUUGAACCUUGGGCCUGGCUGGCCGGUCCGCCUCACCGCGUGUACUGGUCCGGCCGGGCCUUUCCUCCUGGGGAUCCGCAUGCCCUUCACUGGGUGUGUCGGGGAACCAGGACUUUUACUUUGAAAAAAUUAGAGUGUUCAAAGCAGGCCUUUGCUCGAAUACAUUAGCAUGGAAUAAUAGAAUAGGACGUGCGGUCCUAUUUUGUUGGUUUCUAGGACCGCCGUAAUGAUUAAUAGGGAUAGUCGGGGGCAUCAGUAUUCAAUUGUCAGAGGUGAAAUUCUUGGAUUUAUUGAAGACUAACUACUGCGAAAGCAUUUGCCAAGGAUGUUUUCAUUAAUCAGUGAACGAAAGUUAGGGGAUCGAAGACGAUCAGAUACCGUCGUAGUCUUAACCGUAAACUAUGCCGACUAGGGAUCGGGCGAUGUUAUUAUUUUGACUCGCUCGGCACCUUACG
This 1002-nucleotide ribosomal RNA is filed under the name Aplosporella chromolaenae. Its description in RNAcentral is "SSU rRNA". It matches the Rfam family "Eukaryotic small subunit ribosomal RNA", at positions 82 to 1092 of the family's 1831-position model. Lineage: Eukaryota; Fungi; Ascomycota; Dothideomycetes; Botryosphaeriales; Aplosporellaceae. The record is from RNAcentral.